This 480-nucleotide ribosomal RNA is filed under the name uncultured bacterium. RNAcentral's name for it is "bacterial SSU rRNA". It matches the Rfam family "Bacterial small subunit ribosomal RNA", at positions 29 to 506 of the family's 1533-position model. The record is from RNAcentral.
AUGAACGCUAGCGGCAGGCCUAAUACAUGCAAGUCGAACGGGAUUGAGAAGCUUGCUUUUCCUGAGAGUGGCGCACGGGUGCGUAACACGUAUGUAACCUACCUUAAUCUGGGGGAUAGCCUCUCGAAAGAGAGAUUAACACCGCAUAACAUUAUCGGACAGCAUUUUCUGAUAAUCAAAUAUUUAUAGGAUUAAGAUGGGCAUGCGGAACAUUAGCUAGUUGGUAAGGUAAUGGCUUACCAAGGCUACGAUGUUUAGGGGAUCUGAGAGGAUGACCCCCCACACUGGUACUGAGACACGGACCAGACUCCUACGGGAGGCAGCAGUAAGGAAUAUUGGUCAAUGGGCGCAAGCCUGAACCAGCCAUGCCGCGUGCAGGAAGACGGCCCUACGGGUUGUAAACUGCUUUUGUACCGGAAUAAACCUUUUCACGUGUGAGAAGCUGAAUGUACGGUAAGAAUAAGGAUCGGCUAACUCCGU